This 544-nucleotide ribosomal RNA is filed under the name Serratia marcescens. RNAcentral's name for it is "bacterial SSU rRNA". It matches the Rfam family "Bacterial small subunit ribosomal RNA", at positions 14 to 547 of the family's 1533-position model. The record is from RNAcentral. Lineage: Bacteria; Pseudomonadati; Pseudomonadota; Gammaproteobacteria; Enterobacterales; Yersiniaceae.
UCCCCCUGGCUCAGAUUGAACGCUGGCGGCAGGCUUAACACAUGCAAGUCGAGCGGUAGCACAGGGGAGCUUGCUCCCUGGGUGACGAGCGGCGGACGGGUGAGUAAUGUCUGGGAAACUGCCUGAUGGAGGGGGAUAACUACUGGAAACGGUAGCUAAUACCGCAUAACGUCGCAAGACCAAAGAGGGGGACCUUCGGGCCUCUUGCCAUCAGAUGUGCCCAGAUGGGAUUAGCUAGUAGGUGGGGUAAUGGCUCACCUAGGCGACGAUCCCUAGCUGGUCUGAGAGGAUGACCAGCCACACUGGAACUGAGACACGGUCCAGACUCCUACGGGAGGCAGCAGUGGGGAAUAUUGCACAAUGGGCGCAAGCCUGAUGCAGCCAUGCCGCGUGUGUGAAGAAGGCCUUCGGGUUGUAAAGCACUUUCAGCGAGGAGGAAGGUGGUGAGCUUAAUACGCUCAUCAAUUGACGUUACUCGCAGAAGAAGCACCGGCUAACUCCGUGCCAGCAGCCGCGGUAAUACGGAGGGUGCAAGCGUUAAUCG